Molecule: non-coding RNA, 49 nt
Filed under: unclassified sequences
Source: RNAcentral
GCGGAUCCUUCGAUCCGUUGGGAUGUAACCUUUAAGGUUGAACCUCAAA